Molecule: transfer RNA, 73 nt
Filed under: Stegodyphus mimosarum
Lineage: Eukaryota; Metazoa; Arthropoda; Arachnida; Araneae; Eresidae
Rfam family: tRNA
About the family: Transfer RNA (tRNA) molecules are approximately 80 nucleotides in length. Their secondary structure includes four short double-helical elements and three loops (D, anti-codon, and T loops).
Source: Rfam by way of RNAcentral
GCCUUCAUGGUGUAAUGGUCAAAACACUCGGCGCGUAUUCGAGAAGUCCAAGGUUCUAAUCCUGGCGACGGCG